AUACGUAGGGGGCAAGCGUUAUCCGGAAUUACUGGGCGUAAAGGGUGCGUAGGUGGCCUGACAAGUCAGGGGUCAAAGGCAACGGCUCAACCGUUGUAAGCCCUUGAAACUGUCGGGCUUGAGGUCAGGAGAGGAAUGCGGAAUUCCUAGUGUAGCGGGGAAAUGCGUAGAUAUUAGGAGGAACACCAGUGGCGAAGGCGGCUUUCUGGACUGAUACUGACACUGAGGCACGAAAGCGUGGGGAGCAAACAGGAUUAGAUACCCUGGUAGUCCACGCCGUAAACGAUGAGUACUAGGUGUCGGCCCUAAGGGUCGGUGCCGCAGUUAACACAUUAAGUACUCCGCCUGGGAAGUACGCUCGCAAGAGUGAAACUCAAAGGAAUUGGCGGGG
Molecule: ribosomal RNA, 391 nt
Filed under: uncultured bacterium
Lineage: Bacteria
Description: partial 16S ribosomal RNA
Rfam family: Bacterial small subunit ribosomal RNA
Source: RNAcentral